GACGAACGCUGGCGGCGUGCCUAAUACAUGCAAGUAGAACGCUGAAGCGAGGAGCUUACUCUUCUUGGAUGAGUUGCGAACGGGUGAGUAACGCGUAGGUAACCUGCCUUGUAGCGGGGGAUAACUAUUGGAAACGAUAGCUAAUACCGCAUAACAAUGGAUGACACAUGUCAUUUAUUUGAAAGGGGCAAUUGCUCCACUACAAGAUGGACCUGCGUUGUAUUAGCUAGUAGGUGAGGUAAUGGCUCACCUAGGCGACGAUACAUAGCCGACCUGAGAAGGUGAUCGGCCACACUGGGACUGAGACACGGCCCAGACUCCUACGGGAGGCAGCAGUAGGGAAUCUUCGGCAAUGGGGGCAACCCUGACCGAGCAACGCCGCGUGAGUGAAGAAGGUUUUCGGAUCGUAAAGCUCUGUUGUAAGUCAAGAACGGGUGUGAGAGUGGAAAGUUCACACUGUGACGGUAGCUUACCAGAAAGGGACGGCUAACUACGUG
RNAcentral lists this ribosomal RNA (497 nucleotides) under uncultured bacterium. RNAcentral's name for it is "partial 16S ribosomal RNA". It matches the Rfam family "Bacterial small subunit ribosomal RNA", at positions 28 to 507 of the family's 1533-position model. The record is from RNAcentral.